AGGAUUUGGAGCAAAUUAGAAGAAAAUUCGCAACUAUUGGGCUACCCGCAUUCGGAAUAUUGUUUGGGCCAUAUCUUGAGUUCUAGAAGUCGGAUUUGGGCGAGAAAACAGCCCACGCGAAGAUAAUUUAAUUUUCUAUCAUUCUAGAUGGGUCCAGAUAUCAAAAGUCCGCUGAAAUAGCCCAGGAACAGGGGAGAAAGUCAACUGCGAAUUUUGACCUUUUGGAAACCCAUUCAGUUUCGGAAUUGCCUUGUAUAUUCCUAUUAGAAUAAAAACACUUUUGUAUUAGGUAUUAUUAGAUAGAGAAUUACAUACGUGCUAUUGAGGAGAGCCACGGAGAAGAAGAAAGAGGAUCGACAUUUUGUAUCGUAUUCUAUUCUUUUUAUGAUUCUUACGUGUUUUACUAUGACUAUGAUUGGCUAAACCUCUAUUUUUGGAGGGCUGUUUUGAAGCCCUAAACUUUAUGACAAUGAUAUUUUGAUUUUCCGAGAUAUGUUCUUGAUUGCGCUUAUAUAUACGUCAAUGCUUAUAGAUAUUCUUGAAUUAACUGUGGUAUGUGGAUAUCCAAUUCAGUUAUGUGAUUGAUUUAUCUGUAAAGUCGAUUAAUCUUUCUAUGUGGUCCAUGGGAUUAAUUGUAUUAGUGUGUAAUCUGUUUUAGCCUUUCUAUGUGGUCCAUGGGGUUAUGCGGAUAGCAGAGCUUGUUUCUAUGUGGGCCAUGGCAAGUUCUCUAUAAGUGUCUUUCAGAACAUAUCAUAAGAGUUUCAGAGUAUGUCAUGGGUUUAGUGGUGGAUUAAUAUGCUUUCCAACAUGCUUCUUUAAUUGUUAAAAACACAUUUGCUUUAGUUUCAUAAUUAGUUUAAUUAAUAGAUAAAACAAAAUCCAAUCGUUAUUUCUUUGCAAAAUAUAAGUUAAGUGAGCCCUUGAUUCCUGGCGUUGAACGAUACCCUUACUUAUUCUAUAUUAUUAUCGGCAGAAAAAGGGUUUAAAUUGAGUCACAUCAAUUUUUGGCGCCGCGCCGCCGGGGAUUGAAAUUCACUUUGCUUUUGUUUUGUAUUAAUUUUUGUCGUUGUGGUUUAAACGGUUUGUGUUUUCAGGUACAUGGUCAAAACCCGUACAUCUGAAGAACCUCUUGAACCGUUUGAAGAUAAUCCUGAGAAGCUCUUUCGUAAGAAGAGCGAAACCAAAAAAGAUCAAUUAGACAAGAAAAGUGGAGGGAAGCUCAUUGUAGUCGAUAUGGCUAUAGUACCUACACUUCGUGAUGAUGUUGCUGUCUCGGUGGCUAAUAUUGGCCAUUCAUGUAUGGUCUAUCCCAAUCCUGCUGUGGGGGAAUCAGAUACUGCGGCCUCUUUCUCUGAUCUUAUAAAGAGAAACUUGGCAAUCAUCAAGUUUGUUCCAUGUGCAGGGUCCUAAAAGCGGAUGAAUGGACCCAACAUGGCAGCAUUCCUCUGUAUCUCAUACGGGUUUAGUUGAUCAAAAUGAUCAAGGAAUUCUUGCAGAAAUUCUAUCCGGCAACUCGAGUCAUGAACAUGAGAAGCCAAAUAGCUGGAAUUCAUCAAAAUGCCACUGAAACUUAUGCUGAAUAUUAUGCAAGAUUCCAAAAGCUGCAAAAGAGAUGCCCACAACAUGGAUUUUCUAAGGGGAGUCUUCUUCAUUUUUUCUAUCAAGGUCUUCAUGAAGGUGAAAAGAAACUCUUGAAUUCAGCUGCUGGUGGUGCUUAUGUAGAUUUAUCUCAUGAUGCUGCAGAGAAACUAAUUGCUAAGGGAGCUGCAAAUGAACUUCAAUAUGGUAGUCGUGCAAGUUCUGGCAUAACUCAGGGAGCUCAAUCUGAUCAAAGGCUCUCAAAUAUUGAGCAAAGUAUCGAAAAACUGAAUGCAUUACUAUUGAGCGCUAAAACACCGACACCUCAAGUAUGUGGUAUUUGUUCAACUCCGGGACAUUUUACUGAUGGUUAUCCUACAUUGGUUGAACCUACUUUUGAAGAUGUUAAUGUUGUUGGCUUUGGCAAUCAAGGAGCAAACCAAUUCUCUAAUACUUUCAAUCCAAGAUGGAAGGAUCACCCCAAUUUGAGGUACGGGAACACUAACAAUGCUUUAAAUGGGUUUCAGUUUCAAAACAAUUCUGCACCAUCUGGUUUUCUACAAAGGGGUCAAGUCUCCCAAAGCACAAACAAUGAUAACACUAUUGAGAAAUUAUUGUCCAUGUAGGUUGAUGGGCAAACGGAAAUGCAAAAACAAUGCACUACAAAUUCUCAAGAUAUUAGAGAGAUGCUGAAGCAACUUGGGGAUGUGAUAAAGAAAAUUAAUCAAGAACAUGAGCCUGGACGGUUGCCUGGAACUACACAACCAAAUCUGAAAUUCGAGCAUGCUAACAUCAUUACUACUAAGAGUGGCCGGAAUGUCAUUCCCACUCAAAAGGUAUUGGAAAAUCAGGUUGAUAAGCAUGGUAUCGAAAAAGACCCAGCAACUGAAAGAACUUCACACAACAAAUUGGUUGAAGAAAGUAAGAAUUCUCAAGCCAAGGAGGAUAGUCAUGAGAAUGAGGAUGGAGCUGAGAUUGUGCACAACAAUUCUGAGGAGAAACAUACUUCUCCAAUUUCUGCUAGUAAGUGUCUUAAACCUUCAAAUUCGGUUAUUACUAAUAGUCGCUUCGAUUCUGUCCCUUUCCCAGCUAGGUUGGUUCAGACAAAGAAGAGUGCAUUAGAGACAAAUAUUUUGGAGACUUUUCGCAAGGUUCACAUUAAUUUGCCUUUACUGGAGUGCAUUCAGAAUCUUCCAGCAUAUGCCAAGGUAUUGAAGGACUUGUGUACUAAACGAAGGAGGCUCAAGGGGAGUGAAGUUGUUGAGAUGAAGGAGAAUGUGUCUGCGGUUCUACAAGGAAGGUUACCAAGAAAGUGUAAGGAUCCAGGAAGCUUCACUAUUCCUUGCACCAUUGGUAAAUCUAAAUUUGAGAAUGCGUUACUUGAUUUGGGUGCGUCAAUUAAUGUUAUGCCAUCUAGCUUGUAUGAGAAAUUGUGUAUUAAAACUGAACGUGUAUUAAAACUGAACUUAAAAUAGAUGGUGUUACAAUUUUAUUAGCUGACAGAUCUCACGUUUACCCGAAAGGUGUUUUGGAGGAUGUUCUUGUGCAGGUUGGCAGGUUUCAAUAUCCGGCUGAUUUUUAUAUCUUAGACAUGGGAGAUGCGAAUAAUGCACAACUUAUUCUUGGUAGACCAUUUAUGUGUACAGCUCAAACAAGAAUUGAUGUUGCAAGAGGAGAGCUCAGUAUGGACUUUGAUAAUGAAACCAUCAAGUUCAACAUGUUUGAGAUGAUGCGAUAUCCCGUAGAUACUGAGACAUGCUUUACAAUGAGUACAACUGGUAGCAUUGCUCAAAAGUACUUCGAGCUGAUGAAGGAUGAUGUAUUGGAAACAGUGAUUUCUCAAGGCAUCGGUGUUAAUCAGGAAGGAAAUUCUCCAGCUCUUGAAGAGAUUUCUAUCACUCAUAUAGAUGAAAUUCUAGAGCAAUGUAAUGCCUUGCAAGGAGCAGAGAUUACAGGAGAACGGAAGUUUGUACUCCCUAAAACUUCUAGUGAAAAGCAGUUGCCUUCAGUUGUUCAAGCACCACAAUUGGAUCUUACGCCAUUGCCUGCCCAUCUCAAGUAUGUUUUUCUUGGGAAAGACGAGACACUACCAAUCAUUAUCUCAUCAAAGCUCACAUCUGUGCAAGAAGAAAAAGUGGUGGAGUUGGUCUGUAGUCAUAUUAAAGCUAUUGGUUGGAGUUUGGCGGAUAUUAGGGGAAUCAGCCCCACACUAUGUGUUCAUAGAAUUCACUUGGAAGAAGGUGCCAAACCUGUGAGAGUUCCUCAACGACGACUCAAUCCUCCUAUGAUGGAGGUUGUGAAGAAGGAAGUCAUUAAGCUGCUAGACAAUGGGAUCAUCUAUCCUAUUUCUGAUUCUAUGUGGGUUUCUGCUGUUCAUGUUGUUCCUAAGAAGUCUGGUAUUACAGUGGUAGCAAAUGAGGAGAAUGAGUUGGUGCCUCAACGUACAGUGACUGGUCAUUGUGUUUGUAUUGACUACAGGCCUCUCAACAAUGCUACAAAGAAAGAUCAUUUUCCCCUGCCGUUCAUUGAUCAAAUGUUGGAAAGGUUAGCCGGUCAUGAGUAUUAUUGUUUCUUAGAUGGGUACUCUGGAUAUAAUCAAAUUGCUAUAGCUCCAGAAGAUCAAGAGAAGACAACAUUCACAUGCCCCUUUGGUACCUUUUCUUUUAGACGCUUGUCUUUUGGUCAGUGUAAUGCCCCUGGAACGUUUCAAAGAUGUAUGAUGAGUAUAUUCUCUGAUUAUGUGGGAAAAAUCAUUGAGGUUUUCAUGGAUGAUUUCAGUGUCUUUGGAGAUAGUUUUGAUGAUUGCUUGAAGAAUUUGGGGGUUGUUUUGAAAAGAUGUGAAGAAACAAAUUUAGUGCUCAACUGGGAAAAAUGUCACGUCAUGGUAACCCAUGGGAUUGUUCUUGGACAUGUGAUUUCUUCAAAAGGUAUUGAGGUCGAUAAAUCUAAAAUUGACUUGAUACGGUACUUGCCCACUCCGUCAAGUGUAAAGGAGAUUCGGUCUUUUCUUGGCCAUGCUGGUUUUUACAGAAGAUUUAUUCAGGACUUCUCUAAAAUAGCAAGGCCCUUAACUAAUCUUCUUCAAAAGGAUGUACUUUUCGAGUUCAAUGAUGAGUGCAAGGUGGCAUUUGAGGAGUUAAAACUAAAUCUUACGUCAUCUCCUAUCAUACAGGCACCUGAUUGGGGCUUACCUUUUGAAAUAAUGUGUGAUGCCUCAGAUUAUGCUGUUGGAGCUGUACUUGGGCAACGUAAGGACAAGAAGGUGCAUGCUAUUUAUUAUGCUUCUAGAACUUUGAAUGAUGCACAACUCAACUAUGCUACCACUGAGAAAGAAUUGCUGGCUGUCGUCUUUGCUUUGGAAAAAUUUCGAUCAUACUUGCUUGGUACAAAGGUGAUUGUAUUUACAGACCAUGCAGCUCUUAAGUACUUGUUGGCCAAGAAGGAGGCAAAGCCACGACUUAUCCGUUGGAUCUUAUUACUACAAGAGUUUGACAUUGAAAUCAAGGAUAAGAAGGGAUCCGAGAAUGUUGUAGCUGAUCAUCUAAGUCGAUUGGUGAGGGAGGAAGAAGAUGUGCCCCUGACCGAGGCGUUUCCAGAUGAACAACUUCUCCAGAUUGAGGUAAGUGCUCUUAAUGAGGUCACACCAUGGUAUGCAGACAUAGUGAACUAUCUGUUUGACAAAAGUCUUCCUAGUACAUUGACUCGUGCACAAAAAGAUAAGAUUAAACAUGAUUCAAAAUUUUAUGUGUGGGAUGAUCCAUAUCUUUGGAAACAUUGUCCGGAUUUAAUAAUAAGGAGAUGUGUGCCUGAUAAUGAAUUCAAAUCUGUGUUGAAAUUUUGUCAUAAUUAUGCAUGUGGAGGACAUUUUGGAGGAAAAAGAACUGCACAUAAGGUGUUAGAGUGUGGUUUUUAUUGGCCUACAAUGUUUAAAGAUGCUCAAGAAUUUUGUAGGACUUGCGACAGAUGUCAACGAGUAGGGAACAUUACUGCUAGGAAUGAGAUGCCCAUGAAUCCGAUGUUUAAUGUUGAAAUAUUUGAUGUUUGGGGUAUCGAUUUCAUGGGUCCAUUUCCGAAGUCUAAUGGUUUUGAAUAUAUACUUUUAGCUGUUGAUUAUGUGUCGAAGUGGGUGGAAGCUAAAGCCACCCGCACUAAUGAUUCGAAAGUGGUUUCAGAUUUCUUGAGGACUAACAUUUUUGCUAGGUUCGGGAUGCCAAGAGUGGUUAUCAGUGAUGGAGGGUCCCAUUUCUGCAAUAGGACCAUCGAGGCACUAUUUCGCAAGUAUAACAUCUCACAUAAAGUUUCUACACCUUAUCAUCCUCAAACCAAUGGACAAGCAGAGGUGUCUAACAGAGAAAUCAAGAAAAUUCUUGAAAAGACUAUAGGAUCUACACGGAAGGAUUGGAGUCAACAGUUAGAUGAUGCACUUUGGGCUUAUAGGACGGCGUACAAGACACCCAUCGGUAUGUCUCCUUAUCGCAUUGUUUAUGGUAAGCCUUGUCAUUUGCCAGUGGAACUUGAACAUAAGGCAUAUUGGGCUAUUAAGAAAUUCAACAUGAGUCUUGAUGAGGCGGGUUUGCAUCGCAAGUUGCAAUUGUCUGAAUUGGAAGAACUACGCAAUGAAGCUUAUGAGAGUGCUCGUAUUUACAAGGAAAAGACAAAAGUGUUCCAUGACAAGAUGAUUCACAGGAAGAAUUUUGAGGUUGGACAGAAAGUUCUUUUGUAUUAUUCCCGAUUACGUCUUUUUCCUGGAAAACUACGAUCAAGGUGGAUUGGUCCAUUUGAAAUUGUUGAGGUGUUUCCACACGGAGCUGUGAGUAUUAAAAAAGAUGAUGGAAAUGUGUUUAAGGUGAAUGGACAUCGUCUUAAACCGUAUUUGGAGGAUCCUUCUAAUUAUAUCAAGGAGAGUGAGACUCUUAAUGAUGUGAUUAUCUCUGGUGCUUAAGAUCCGUGACAUCAUGUCUAGCCAAAGACGUUAAAGAAAAGCGCUUCUUGGGAGGCAACCCAAGCAUAUUGUACGGUUAGUUAUAAUUCUAUUAUAAUUAUUAUAGUUCUUAGUAGUAAAAUUAUUAGUAUUAUAUUUAUAGAUUUUUAUAGAUUUGAAAUUUUUAUUCCCGCAAGGUGCCUUGAUAAUUUUUGUGAAGUGUUUCAGGAUUUGUUUUUAGUGAUGGCAUGGUGUGGAAAUUAUUCAGAAAAGAAAAAAAGAGAAAAAUUUGAUGGCAGAUACAGAAGCUUGAAACCGCCGUUUACAUUCAGGAGAACGGGCGUUUUCAGCUUCUGCCUAACUCUUCUAUUUCACCCUUCUCGCGCAUCAAUUUUUCAGUCCAGCGCUUGCAAAUUCCUUAGGAAUUGGGCCUGUUUCAGUCCAGCCCACUCGAUCCAACUGUCCGGCCCAACUACUGGCCCAUAAGUCCAGAAUCCAGCCCGGUCCAACUGCUUUUUGCUCCUUUCUUUUGAAGCGCGUUCACGUGAAUUCUAAUGUUACUGGAAGGGUUUGAACCCUUGACCUCAAGCCUGCAAAACAAGCUGAUGACCACUCGGCCAACUAUGUCACUUGAAACAUAUGUCACUGCACUUCAUUAUGAUUAUUCAGGGCAGUUUUCUUAACUCUUCCUUAGAUAUUAAUUAAUAUAUUAUAUUAUAUUAUAUUAUAUUAUAUAUUAUUCAUCGAGGACAAUGAACCAUCCAAGUGUGGGGAGGUGUUCUCACGAAUAAUUAAAUAUAUGUAUUUAUAUAUAUAUAUAUAUAUAUAUAUUUAUAAAAUCCAAAAAAAUUAAAAAUUUUGUAUAUAAUUAUCUUGUCUCAAAGCAUGUUUAGUGAGUACUUAUACACAUAUUGUAGACUAAUGUGCAUGAUUAAUUCUGAGCAUCAUAUUCAUGAUAAAAAUCAUUCAAUGCAUGAUAAUUCUUUGUGUGUGCUUGCGAAAAUUUUAAAACUUGAGAUGCAUCUUAGUCAAUUUCUAUGAGUAAAGCAUGCUUUCACCUGGUGAGAUUUUGAGCCUAAUUUAUGAUUGAUACAAUUUUUAUCAAUUUAACUUUUUUGUGAGUGGUGUUCGUCAUUUGGCUUGUUGCUCUAGGAUUUGGUUUAAACCUUAUAGAGAUGAAAUGUUAUGUGUAUGCAUGAAAAUGAUAAAGGCACUAGGAUUAACCGCAUAUGUCCAAACAGUACCCGAGAAUUAUAUCCUUAGUGAACCCCCUUGAGCUUGUAUCCAUUUUUUUUUUGUUUAUCACCAAUCUAUGAAUUUUGAGCCUACUUGUUUAUUCUUGUCUUGAUGACUAGUAGAGCAUUUUUUGAUUCAUUCGAGCAGUGGUUAACAUUCAAGUGUGGGGAUUUCUUUGUCAAAGGGUGAAAGUUUGGUGGGAAUCAGGGAAAAAAAAAGAGAUAUGAAAAAAAAAACAAAGUAUCAGGUACUCCUUUGAGAUCAAUGGGUGGCAAUUGCAAUGUCAUAUGAAAGGGACGAGCCAUGUGCACGUGCUGGUAUUAAGCACAAUUGUACUAGAAAUUAAGGGGAACUUAAUUCCUCUUAUUUUUCUUGGUGACUUUUCACUGCUCUUGGUUACUGGAGAAAAACUUGACUUUGAAAAGAAAAAAAAUGAAAGGGAAAAAAUAGCAAGUGGAGAAUGUGUUCAUUAGUGGUACAAUGUGAAAUGGGAAGUACAUAAUUAUGUGCUUGGGCUUUAAUGCUUGUGAAAGCUUGAUCACCUUUUACAUGAUUCAAAUUUCAUGUUGAGUGCUUAAUCAGAAGUGAACACUAUGCUCUAUUAGUUAUCGAGUUAGCCAUUUGUUAGCUUAUUUCUUUGAUAUCCUACCCCAUGCCUAAGCCUCGUUACAACCCUUAACAAAGUCCUUUUGAUUUGUGCGUGCAUAUAUACAGAGUAGUGUAGAUUUGGUGGACAACCAAGUUUAUGGUAGUGCAGGUCCAUAUUGAUUGAAUUUGAGUGAAGCACUUACACCCAAACACUUGUGUGAAUUAAGAGUAAUGUGAGAUUUUCUACCCAUAGCAUGCUUGCUUAUUGGAUGCGACUUUGAUGUCUAUUUCAUGAUAUUUUUGUCUAUCUAGACACUGUGUGCAUACUUGGAUUGUUGUGUAUAAAUGGUACAUAAGUGAUAGUACUUGUACUUUCACACAUGUUCAGAUUGUUAUGUAAGUGAGGUUUGCAUAUGUGGAGUACUAUGAUGAUUUCUUUGCUUGAGACUUGGUGAUUAAAAAUAUUUGAUUUUGUGGGAUAUCUUCUAUAAACCCUCACGAGACAACACUCGUCCUACUAGGGCUGCCUAGGGGUUUAACGGCUUGUUGCAUACGCUCAAUGCAAUCGUGUCAUCUACGAAAGUGAUGCUAGUAGUUAGCUAGUAAUAUUGUUAUUUUAUGUUGCCCGAGGACGUGCAAUAUGCUAAGUGUGGGGAUAUUUGAUAGAGUAUAUAUUUAUAUAUAUAUUAGAUGAUAAUUAUUCUCAUAUUAGUUAUAUUUUGCAUUUAAUUGGACAUAUAUUAAUUAUAUUUUAAUAUCUUAUUAUAGGGAGCAAGGAAUUCUAAAUUGGAGAGGAUUUGGAGCAAAUUAGAAGAAAAUUCGCAACUAUUGGGCUACCCGCAUUCGGAAUAUUUUUUGGGCCAUAUCUUGAGUUCUAGAAGUCGGAUUUGGGCGAGAAAACAGCACACGCGAAGAUAAUUUAAUUUUCUAUCAUUCUAGAUGGGUCCAGAUAUCAAAAGUCCGCUGAAAUAGCCCAGGAACAGGGGAGAAAGUCAACUGCGAAUUUUGACCUUUUGGAAACCCAUUCAGUUUCGGAAUUGCCUUGUAUAUUCCUAUUAGAAUAAAAACACUUUUGUAUUAGGUAUUAUUAGAUAGAGAAUUACAUACGUGCUAUUGAGGAGAGCCACGGAGAAUAAGAAAGAGGAUCGACAUUUUGUAUCGUAUUCUAUUCUUUUUAUGAUUCUUACGUGUUUUACUAUGACUAUGAUUGGCUAAACCUCUAUUGUUGGAGGGCUGUUUUGAAGCCCUAAACUUUAUGA
This 9582-nucleotide long non-coding RNA is filed under the name Daucus carota (carrot). RNAcentral's name for it is "long non-coding RNA (DCAR_LNC003480)". The record is from RNAcentral. Lineage: Eukaryota; Viridiplantae; Streptophyta; Magnoliopsida; Apiales; Apiaceae.